RNAcentral lists this ribosomal RNA (307 nucleotides) under uncultured Tenacibaculum sp. Its description in RNAcentral is "bacterial SSU rRNA". It matches the Rfam family "Bacterial small subunit ribosomal RNA", at positions 28 to 334 of the family's 1533-position model. The record is from RNAcentral. Lineage: Bacteria; Pseudomonadati; Bacteroidota; Flavobacteriia; Flavobacteriales; Flavobacteriaceae.
GAUGAACGCUAGCGGCAGGCUUAACACAUGCAAGUCGAGGGGUAACAGGUAGCUUGCUAUGCUGACGACCGGCGAACGGGUGCGUAACGCGUAUAGAAUCUGCCUUGUACAGGAGGAUAGCCUUUAGAAAUGAAGAUUAAUACUCCAUAAUGUUAAUGAUUGGCAUCAGUUAUUAAUUAAACAUUUAUGGGUACAAGAUGACUAUGCGUCCUAUUAGCUAGAUGGUAAGGUAACGGCUUACCAUGGCAACGAUAGGUAGGGGGUCUGAGAGGAUUAUCCCCCACACUGGUACUGAGACACGGACCAG